UACGUAGGGCGCAAGCGUUAUCCGGAAUUAUUGGGCGUAAAGAGCUCAUAGGCGGUUUGUCGCGUCUGCCGUGAAAGUCCGGGGCUUAACCCCGGAUCUGCGGUGGGUACGGGCAGACUAGAGUGCAGUAGGGGAGACUGGAAUUCCUGGUGUAGCGGUGAAAUGCGCAGAUAUCAGGAGGAACACCGAUGGCGAAGGCAGGUCUCUGGGCUGUAACUGACGCUGAGGAGCGAAAGCAUGGGGAGCGAACAGG
RNAcentral lists this ribosomal RNA (253 nucleotides) under uncultured bacterium. RNAcentral describes it as "partial 16S ribosomal RNA". It matches the Rfam family "Bacterial small subunit ribosomal RNA", at positions 524 to 776 of the family's 1533-position model. The record is from RNAcentral.